Molecule: long non-coding RNA, 1662 nt
Organism: Leopardus geoffroyi (Geoffroy's cat)
Lineage: Eukaryota; Metazoa; Chordata; Mammalia; Carnivora; Felidae
Exons: 3
Source: RefSeq, a predicted model, not a curated record
UCUCCGGGAAUCGCCCACACGAGCCAGAUGCCGCCCUCUCCUUCCGGUGGCGGCCGCGCGGGGCCCGCUCCCCAGGACGCCGGCCCCUGAGUGCCCGCGCGGCCCGGCGACUCUGCCGCCCCAAGUUCGCCCGCCGCCUCACGAGCGCCAACGCGUCUCGCACUUGGCAGACAGCGAGCAGGUUCUCCAGCACAGUGUUGAACAGAAGUAGCAAGAGUGGAUAUCCUUUUCUUUGUCCUAAUCCGAGGGCGAAAGUAUCCAGUCUUUCACCAUCAUAAACAAAAGGCUUAAGGAAGGGAAGUGACUUGACCAAACUCGUACCAGUUGCUGGGCAAAGUCAGAACCGGAAACACAAGGUACGUCUUCUUCUGUGUAUGUAAAAGGCUGAAAACACAAAAGACUGUGGUAUUUAUAUGCAUUUGUGUCCAAUUUGUUUCUAGUACUUUUCUUCCCCCACUCUUAUCUUUUCACCCAAAUUUCCCAACUCCUCACAUAGACUAUUUUGGAAAUUAGAAACCAUUUUUAAUGCAAAUAAUGCCUUUUUUAAAAAAGUUAUAAACACCCACAACAUCUUUAUGCUUAGUGACUUGAUGCCAACUAUAUAUACUUAUGGGUGGAUGGGUAUAUCUGGAUCUAUAAAUGGCAUUUGUAUAUUCAUAUACAUUUGUAUACCAGAUUUCCAAAUCUAGUUGUUUUCCCCCACCUUCCGGAAAGAAAGCAUCCCUGACAUUUUGAUAGCAUAGCCAUAUCUGUACAGUUCCAUCAUGGCAGUUUGCAUUACAUACUUGUUUGUGGUAAAGGCAAAAAUAAAUCUUGAUAGUUUUCUUCCGUUGAUAUUUUACCAUCUUUUGCUAGGGAAGAUGAAAGCACAAGCAAUCAGUGCUCUUCUGUGGAAGGGAAGAAGAGUUAGUUAGAUCUAAAUAAAAAUAAGCAGCAUCUCAGGCUUGACAAACUUUUCUAGAGAAUUCUUUUUUCCCAUACUCUGCAGAGAGCCCCUAGCAUGGAGCAUGUGUCUGCCAGCUAAUAGAUGUGUCAUGCAAAACUUAUUCUGUGCUUUCUCUAAUCACCACCUGAAACACAGAACUAAAGCACACAAUCUAAUUUAUUUUAAUGUUUGCCCUCAUACUUUAAAAUAAGCAUUAUUUUGGAACUUUGAUUGGGUCGCCAUGCUCUUGUGUGACAUGAGGCUCUCUUAAACUUUGUUACUACCUCAGCAUAUUACUCGUCUGACAUAAAAUUAAUUAAUCAAUCAAUCAAUUAAUCAAACAUUCCUUGUGACUAUACUUGGCAAGUUUUCUAUUUAAACUGCACAUAGAGACAAAACAAAACAAAAAACCUAGAUUAUUAAAUGCAAAGAACAAAUUAGUGGUUACCAGAGGGGAGGUGGGUAAGGGGAUGGGUGAAAUAGAUAAAGGGGAUUAAGAGUACACUUACCUUGAUGAGCACAUGAUGAGAAAUGUGUAGACUUGUUGAAUCAUUACAUUGUACACCUGACACUAAUAUAACACUGUAUGUUAAUUAUACUGGAAUAAAAAAAUAAAAAUAAAUACAUCUCAUACCUAAAAAAUAAAUAAGUAAAUAAACUGCAUAUAGGCAUACAUGUGAGUUUGGUUCCAGAUCACUUCAAUGAAGCAAAUAUUGCAAUAAAGCAAGUCAAAUGAA